CUAGGCGCACAGCUCAGUAGCACGUGGCUAACCUGCCCUUGGGACGGAGGCCCCCCGGGAAACUGGGGCUAAUCUCCGAUAGGUGAAGACUUCUGGAAUGGGUUUUUGCCUAAAGGGCGCUUAGGGCAUGCUUCUAAGCGUUGCCCAAGGAUGGGGCCGCGGCCGAUCAGGUUGUUGGUGAGGUAACGGCUCACCAAGCCUUUAACCGGUGCGGGCCGUGGGAGCGGGAGACCGGAGAUGGGCACUGAGACAAGGGCCCAGGCCCUACGGGGCGCAGCAGUUGCGAAAACUCUGCAAUGCACGAAAGUGUGACAGGGCUAUCCCGAGUGGCCUCCGCUGAGGAUGGCUUUUCUCUGCUGUAAGGAGGCGGAGGAAUAAGGAGAGGGCAAGUCUGGUGUCAGCCGCCGCGGUAAUACCAGCUCUCCGAGUGGUGGGAAUGAUUAUUGGGCUUAAAGCGUCCGUAGCCGGCCCUUCAAGUCUCUCGUUAAAUCCAGCGAUUCAAUCGUUGGACUGCAGGAGAUACUGCUGGGCUAGAGGGCGGGACAAGCCGACGGUAUUCCCUGGUUAUGGGGUAAAUCCUAUAAUCCUGGGAAGACCACCAGUGGCGUAGGCGGUCGGCUAGCACGCGCUUGACGGUGAGGGACGAAAGCUGAGGGAGCGAACCGGAUUAGAUACCCGGGUAGUCCCAGCUGUAAACGAUGCGGGCUAGGUGUUGGAGCGGCUACGAGCCGCUUCAGUGCCGCAGGGAAGCCAUUAAGCCCGCCGCCUGGGGAUACCGCCCGGCAGGCUGAACAUAAAGGCCA
RNAcentral lists this ribosomal RNA (803 nucleotides) under uncultured soil archaeon. RNAcentral's name for it is "bacterial SSU rRNA". It matches the Rfam family "Archaeal small subunit ribosomal RNA", at positions 77 to 865 of the family's 1478-position model. The record is from RNAcentral.